Molecule: ribosomal RNA, 438 nt
Filed under: uncultured bacterium
Lineage: Bacteria
Description: bacterial SSU rRNA
Rfam family: Bacterial small subunit ribosomal RNA
Source: RNAcentral
AGAGUUUGAUCCUGGCUCAGAACGAACGCUGGCGGCGUGCCUAACACAUGCAAGUCGAACGGAGAUAAGGGGCUUGCUCCUUAUUUUAGUGGCGCACGGGUGAGUAACGCGUGGAUAAUCUACCUUGGAAUCUGGGAUAACAUUUCGAAAGGGGUGCUAAUACCGGAUAAGACCACGAGCUCUUUGGAGUUUGCGGUAAAAGGGGGCCUCUGUAUAUGCUUCUGUUUCAAGAUGAGUCCGCGUACCAUUAGCUAGUAGGCAGGGUAAUGGCCUACCAAGGCGACGAUGGUUAGCUGGUCUGAGAGGAUGAUCAGCCACACUGGAACUGAGACACGGUCCAGACUCCUACGGGAGGCAGCAGUGGGGAAUUUUGCGCAAUGGGGGAAACCCUGACGCAGCAACGCCGCGUGAGUGAUGAAGGCCUUCGGGUCGUAAAGC